CAUUAAUGGGCAUUUCUUGCAGUGAGAAUGGGAAACUGACAGUGACAGAUGACGAUGUUAUAGAAAAGAGCAAUCUCAGUCGCCAGUUUCUCUUCCGUGACUGGAACAUUGGGCAGCCCAAGUCCACGGUUGCUGCUACUGCUGCUAUGGCAAUUAAUCCUAAGCUUCAUGUUGAGGCCCUUCAGAACAGGGCAAGUCCUGAGACUGAAAAUGUGUUUAAUGAUGCCUUUUGGGAGAGCUUGGAUGCUGUUGUCAAUGCCUUGGACAAUGUUACUGCACGAAUGUACAUUGACUCCAGAUGUGUAUAUUUCCAGAAACCACUUCUUGAAUCGGGGACUCUGGGUGCUAAGUGCAAUACACAGAUGGUCAUUCCCCACCUAACAGAAAACUACGGGGCAUCCAGAGAUCCACCAGAAAAGCAGGCACCUAUGUGCACUGUGCAUUCAUUUCCUCAUAAUAUUGAUCACUGCCUAACGUGGGCAAGGUCUGAGUUUGAGGGUCUACUUGAGAAGACUCCCACUGAAGUAAAUGCGUUCCUGUCGAAUCCUAGUGGAUAUGCUACUGCUGCAAGAACUGCUGGUGAUGCACAGGCUAGGGAUCAACUUGAGCGAGUUAUUGAAUGCCUUGACAGAGACAAGUGCGAGACAUUCCAAGAUUGUAUUACCUGGGCUCGUCUUAAGUAAGUUCUGUCUAUCUCUUCUGCACAGCUGUAACUUAGCUGCAUUUAACUGCUUACAUUUAUUUCACAUGUUGCCAUGUGCGUGCAAGUUCUGAAAUGUUGAAAUAUUGCUGAAAAAGUGUGUUCAUAUUGAUCAUGCUGUCUAUUUCACAGUGCUUCUGUUGAAUUACAAAUCUAAUGUUUGUUGCUUCUUUUUUUUUUCUGUUGAUGGCUUAUAAAGGUUUGAGGAUUAUUUUGCCAACCGUGUGAAGCAGCUGACGUUCACCUUCCCUGAAGACGCGAUGACAAGCUCUGGUGCUCCUUUCUGGUCUGCUCCUAAGCGGUUCCCACGACCUCUGGAGUUCUCAUCUGCUGACCCAAGUCACCUCAACUUUUUGUUGGCUGCCUCAAUACUAAGGGCGGAGACAUUUGGAAUACCCAUACCUGAUUGGGCCAAAAACCCAAAGAAACUGGCUGAAGCUGUUGACAAGGUCAUUGUACCUGAUUUCCAACCAAGACAGGGGGUUAAGAUAGAGACAGAUGAGAAGGCUACUAGCCUAUCCUCUGCUUCUGUUGAUGAUGCUGCCGUCAUUGAAGAGCUUAUUGCAAAGUUGGAAUCA
This 1278-nucleotide long non-coding RNA is filed under the name Setaria viridis. Its description in RNAcentral is "long non-coding RNA (SVIR_LNC008606)". Lineage: Eukaryota; Viridiplantae; Streptophyta; Magnoliopsida; Poales; Poaceae. The record is from RNAcentral.